CCUACGGGUGGCAGCAGUGAGGAAUAUUGGUCAAUGGACGCAAGCCUGACCCAGCCACGCCGCGUGCAGGAAGCCGGCUCUAUGAGGUGUAAACUUCUUUUGUACGACGGUAAACGCAGGUACGCGUACCUGUAUGAAAGUCUCGUACGGAUAAAGAUCGGCUAACUCCGUGCCAGGAGCCGCGGUAAUACGGAGGAUUCAAGCGUUAUCCGGAUUUAUUGGGGUUAAAGGGUUCGUAGGCGGGCGGAUAAGUUUGAGGUUAAAUCUCGAGGCUCAACUUCGGAAUUGCCGUGGAUACUGGUGGGCUAGAGAGUAGUUGCGGUAGGCGGAAUGUCUGGUGUAGCGGUGAAAUGCUUAGAGAUCAUGCAGAACACCGAUUGCGAAGGCAGCUUACCAAGCUACAACUGACGUUGAGGAACGAAAGCGUGGGGAGCAAACAGGAUUAGAUACCCCUGUAGUC
Molecule: ribosomal RNA, 460 nt
Filed under: uncultured bacterium
Lineage: Bacteria
Description: partial 16S ribosomal RNA
Rfam family: Bacterial small subunit ribosomal RNA
Source: RNAcentral